AUCUGAUUAACCUGAGCUGGAAAAGCUUAUCAAAAGUGUGGUAGCUACAUAAGACAAGAACAUAUUCACCGUAGCUUAAAACUGUUUCUUGGCCCCUAGAAUCUCAGGAAAUGCCAUGCAAAUACGAGUUGAUGAAGGAAGGCACCUGGUUGACUGAAAAUAAUCCAAGCUUUAAGGGGAAAAAUGGAGGAGAAUGUCCAUCCACUGGAAUACAAUCCAUAUUGCAUGUCCAGCAGGGCACGCUGCCCUCUCAUGGGACAACGGGAGCAUAGGGGCUCAUGCCUUCUCUGUGGCUGACUUUAGCCUUGCUGGCUUCCCCCAAAUAAAAUCUGUU
Molecule: long non-coding RNA, 334 nt
Organism: Balaenoptera musculus (blue whale)
Lineage: Eukaryota; Metazoa; Chordata; Mammalia; Artiodactyla; Balaenopteridae
Exons: 3
Source: RefSeq, a predicted model, not a curated record